RNAcentral lists this unclassified non-coding RNA (89 nucleotides) under Pseudomonas prosekii. The record is from RNAcentral. Lineage: Bacteria; Pseudomonadati; Pseudomonadota; Gammaproteobacteria; Pseudomonadales; Pseudomonadaceae.
UGUGGGAGCGAGCUUGCUCGCGAUGGCGGUGUGUCAGUCACAUCUGUGUCGGAUGUGCUGCCGUCAUCGCGAGCAAGCUCGCUCCCACA